AUUUGGUGUUGAGGGCACUUGAUGCAUAACUUCUUGAAUCUCUCCCAAUAAUCAUAGAGCGAUUCUCCUAGAUGUUGCUUGAUACUGCAUAUCUCCUUCCUCAGACU
Small nucleolar RNA from Coffea arabica (coffee), 107 nucleotides. The record is from RefSeq and is a predicted model, not a curated record. Lineage: Eukaryota; Viridiplantae; Streptophyta; Magnoliopsida; Gentianales; Rubiaceae.